CAUGGAGGGUGAGAAUCCCGUUCGGUUGAUCAGGUGCGUUUUACGAUACGCUUUCAAAGAGUCAAGUUGUUUGGGAUUGCAGCUUAAAAUGGGAGGUAAAUUUCUCCUAAGGCUAAAUAACGGCGAGAGACCGAUAGCGAACAAGUACCGUGAGGGAAAGAUGAAAAGCAUUUUGAAAAGAAAGUCAAAUAGCACGUGAAAUUGUUGAAAGGGAAACGAUUAAAGUCAGUCGUACCGAUGGACAUUCAACCUCUUGAGUGCGAUUAUGUCGGGUGUUGGGGAGCUUAACCGCCUUCGCGCUUGCGUAUUUGUGCUCUACGGGUGUACUUGUUCGUAUGGUAGGUUAACAUCAAUUUCGGUCGUCAUAAAAUGACGGGAGGAACGUGGCUUUGAUCUCGCAUUGAAGUGUUAUAGCCUCUGGUAGAUGUGGUGAUUGGGACUGAGGAUUGCAACGAAUAUCCUUUGGGCUAUCCGUCUGAUCUCUGAAAGUUGCUCAGGUGCCGAAAGCGUGCUUACGGUCAUCUAAGUUGACGGUCAAUAGGUUAGAACGUGAUUACAUUCGUUAAGGAUGUUGACGUAAUGG
This 583-nucleotide ribosomal RNA is filed under the name uncultured Glomeromycotina. RNAcentral describes it as "LSU rRNA". It matches the Rfam family "Eukaryotic large subunit ribosomal RNA", at positions 204 to 637 of the family's 3401-position model. The record is from RNAcentral. Lineage: Eukaryota; Fungi; Glomeromycota.